This 406-nucleotide ribosomal RNA is filed under the name uncultured bacterium. RNAcentral describes it as "partial 16S ribosomal RNA". It matches the Rfam family "Bacterial small subunit ribosomal RNA", at positions 30 to 526 of the family's 1533-position model. The record is from RNAcentral.
AUUGAACGCUGGCGGCAGGCCUAACACAUGCAAGUCGAACGAGUGGCGGACGGGUGAGUAAUGUCUGGGAACCUGCUCGAUGGAGGGGGAUAACUACUGGAAACGGUAGUUAAUACCGCAUACCAUCGGAUGUGCCCAGGUGUGAUUAGCUAGUAGGUGGGGUAACGGCUAACCUAGGCAACGAUCCAUAGCUGGUCUGCGAGGAUGACCGGCCACACUGGAACUGAGACACGGUCCAGACUCCUACGGGAGGCAGCAGUAGGGAAUCUUGCACAAUGGGCGCAAGCCUGAUGCAGCCAUGCCGCGUGUAUGAAGAAGGUCUUCGGGUUGUAAAGUACUGUCAGCGAGGAGGCGUUACUCGCUGAGAAAGCACCGGCUAACUCCGUGCCAGCAGCCGCGGUAAUUC